RNAcentral lists this non-coding RNA (103 nucleotides) under uncultured Shewanella sp. Lineage: Bacteria; Pseudomonadati; Pseudomonadota; Gammaproteobacteria; Alteromonadales; Shewanellaceae. The record is from RNAcentral.
UGCUGACAACGCGCCUUAGUCAUGGUUUGGCAAAUCAGACCACGGCCAUAAGUGGCCAUAAAGUUGAUAGCUUGUGGCGUGACCUUUUCGGCCGCCAUAAUCA